GUCAAUUCUAUCAUAUUUUUUUGACAGCCUGCGACGCAAGCCCUCUAGCAAGAUGCAGGCCGGAGCCUGUGUCUCGUUCCCUGGGGCGAUAGCUCUUGCUGGCAGGUCUUGCAGUGUCCAUACCCGGGCAACACGUUUUCCAGCUACACCU
This is a non-coding RNA of Giardia lamblia ATCC 50803, 151 nucleotides long. NCBI's taxonomy places the organism in Eukaryota, Fornicata, Diplomonadida, Hexamitidae. The record is from Rfam.